GCCCGGCUAGCUCAAUCGGUAGAGCGUGAGACUCUUAACACCCCUGGCUCCCUCCAGACCCAGGCUCUUGAAUCUCAAGGCUGUGGGUUCGACCCCCACGUCGGGCU
Podospora appendiculata is the source of this 107-nucleotide non-coding RNA. The record is from the annotation of a GenBank genome assembly. NCBI's taxonomy places the organism in Eukaryota, Fungi, Ascomycota, Sordariomycetes, Sordariales, Podosporaceae.